AGUGGCACCACCCAGCACCAUCCCGAACCUGGAAGUGAAACGCUGUAGCGCUGAUGGUACUUCAGCCGCAAGGCUGCGGGAGAGUAGGCCAUUGCGGAAC
Molecule: ribosomal RNA, 100 nt
Filed under: Chloroflexota bacterium
Lineage: Bacteria; Bacillati; Chloroflexota
Source: RNAcentral